Long non-coding RNA from Lotus japonicus, 578 nucleotides. RefSeq lists it as uncharacterized. Lineage: Eukaryota; Viridiplantae; Streptophyta; Magnoliopsida; Fabales; Fabaceae. The transcript is spliced from 3 exons. The record is from RefSeq and is a predicted model, not a curated record.
UAUUAUUCCUGAGUGCCCUGGGUCAGAUUAGGUCUUGAUUGAUUCGAGUUUGGCACCAUUUGAUCAUUAUUGAGUUUUAAAUCAAUUUAUUUCAUUUUCAUGGCAAACAUCUUUACCCUACAUUCAUCAUCAAGUUUCUCUCUACUCAUUCAGUGGAUUUGGCUGAUUCAAGGCUUUAAUUAAACCUUCCCACUCCCUCUAUCUGACCCAACAAGUUUCACAUUCAGAUCAUCUCCCAAUCUCUCUAACCAAUCUCACUAAGUUGCCUACUUGACCUUCAAAUUUCAAGUUUUGGAGUUUUGAACUUUUUCAAAGUGCCGUUUGACGAUUGAUCCGUUUCCGAUUAUUCACGCGGUUAAAGGUGCGGAUGCGGAUGAACAGAAGUGAUGACUUGGUUUUCUGUUAUGGCGGAUUUGAAUAAAGGACUUUAUAUUUUAUUUUCUUGUUGUUGUGUAAUAGUUAUAACUUAUUCGGGAUACUGGGUAUGUAAUAUUAUUAUUGUAUCGUGUUAAGUUUCUCGCGAGGUUUUCGAACUUAUAACUGUUCGUUUUCAGAAAAAAAUUCCGUGGUUCCGUGAA